UACGUAGGGGGCUAGCGUUGUCCGGAAUCAUUGGGCGUAAAGCGCGUGUAGGCGGUCCGGUAAGUCCGCUGUGAAAGUCGGGGGCUCAACCCUCGGAUGCCGGUGGAUACUGUCGGGCUUGAGUACGGAAGAGGCGAGUGGAAUUCCUGGUGGAGCGGUGAAAUGCGCAGAUAUCAGGAGGAACACCCGUAGCGAAGGCGGCACUCUGGGCCGAUACUGACACUGAGGAGCGAAAGCGUGGGGAGCGAACAGG
Molecule: ribosomal RNA, 253 nt
Filed under: uncultured bacterium
Lineage: Bacteria
Description: partial 16S ribosomal RNA
Rfam family: Bacterial small subunit ribosomal RNA
Source: RNAcentral